Molecule: ribosomal RNA, 253 nt
Filed under: uncultured bacterium
Lineage: Bacteria
Description: partial 16S ribosomal RNA
Rfam family: Bacterial small subunit ribosomal RNA
Source: RNAcentral
UACGGAGAGGGCUAGCGUUAUUCGGAAUCAUUGGGCGUAAAGGGCGCGUAGGCGGAUUAGUAAGUUAAAAGUGAAAUCCCAAGGCUUAACCUUGGAAUUGCUUUUAAAACUGCUAGUCUAGAGAUUGAAAGAGGAUAGAGGAAUUCCUAGUGUAGAGGUGAAAUUCGUAAAUAUUAGGAGGAACACCAGUGGCGAAGGCGUCUAUCUGGUUCAAAUCUGACGCUGAGGCGCGAAGGCGUGGGGAGCAAACAGG